RNAcentral lists this ribosomal RNA (503 nucleotides) under uncultured bacterium. RNAcentral's name for it is "bacterial SSU rRNA". It matches the Rfam family "Bacterial small subunit ribosomal RNA", at positions 25 to 518 of the family's 1533-position model. The record is from RNAcentral.
CAGGAUGAACGCUAGCUACAGGCUUAACACAUGCAAGUCGAGGGGCAGCAUGAAGUUGCUUGCAAACUUGAUGGCGACCGGCGCACGGGUGAGUAACGCGUAUCCAACCUUCCCCUUACUAGGGAAUAGCCCGGCGAAAGUCGGAUUAAUGCCCUAUGUUCUCCUUUGCGGGCAUCUAACGAGGAGCAAAGAUUCAUCGGUAAGGGAUGGGGAUGCGUCUGAUUAGCCAGUUGGCGGGGUAACGGCCCACCAAGGCGACGAUCAGUAGGGGUUCUGAGAGGAAGGUCCCCCACAUUGGUACUGAGACACGGACCAAACUCCUACGGGAGGCAGCAGUGAGGAAUAUUGGUCAAUGGACGCGAGUCUGAACCAGCCAAGUAGCGUGCAGGAAUGACUGCCCUAUGGGUUGUAAACUGCUUUUAUGCGGGAAUAAAGUCAGGUACGUGUACCUGUUUGUAUGUACCGCAUGAAUAAGGACCGGCUAAUUCCGUGCCAGCAGCCGC